Molecule: long non-coding RNA, 1270 nt
Organism: Labrus mixtus (cuckoo wrasse)
Lineage: Eukaryota; Metazoa; Chordata; Actinopteri; Labriformes; Labridae
Exons: 3
Source: RefSeq, a predicted model, not a curated record
UGGAUUGUCCGAUAGUCUUGAACGCACCAUUCCUGAGGUGCGCUCAGAGCGGUGCUCUGUCGCUUUAAAUGACGUAAUAAGACAGGUGAAGUGGCAGCUGACGGAGGACCCGUAUGGACGCUGACUUGGAAGUUGUCGGACCUAACCGAGGACCCACUCCCAUGAACUUGUUUUAGAAACCAGCCGUAUCUUAUGUGAUCCAACACCAACAAAUCAAACUGAACUCAUACACGAAGCUUAGGCUCGUCGCUCUAAAAGCCGUCCGGUGCGAUCAGGCCGCCGGUGCCCCAGCAGGCCCGCGUACAGAUACAAGCAGAAUGGAGCUCACUUUUCUCUAAGGACCCCAGCAGGUCUCCCUCCUUUCCUUCUCCUACUUUAGGGAACAGGAGCAUGAAGGUAGACACAGACAACCGGGCUAACUCACAACAGCUCCUGUGAUCAGCCUGACAACAGCCUUAGGGCCCACACAUGGGCCCACACACAUACACACAGUCACAACAGAAAGACAUUUUAAAAAGGGACCAAAGAGGGGCCCAGGGCAGGAGCCCUGAGGCACUCCAACUUGGUGACACAGCAGCAGCAUUUCCCCUCCGUGCUACUGGUCGACGUAAGCACAACCUGGAAGCUGCUCCUCUCCUGUGUGCUGACUGAAACAAUGACUAGCCCCUCGCUCUCUAAUUUACAGGGAGUUGGCUCAUUCCUCUGAGUGGAAUGUACAGUGGGAGCAGCUUGCAUUUCAUGACAGGGUGGAGAGAUCCAUGAUGAGGUGGGGUGGUUUGAGUGGGGCUGGGUUGAGGGUGGGGUGAGUGAGUUUAUUUUUAUUUUUUAAAAAUGACAUGUCAUUUUAUGUUUGUUGUUUCAUGGUGUGCAGGGGUCAAGGAACAGAACACAGUAUCUGAUUUGUACUGUACUUGUUAAACUGUAGGGAGGUACAACCGGCUGUGUGGAACUUUGAGCGACCAAACCUGAUGUACAAAUCUACAGUUCCAUCUAAUACAUAGAUACAUUUUCUUUCAGAUAAUGAACUAUGUGAACAAAGGACAUAUUAAAAAAUGGAAACACUGACAUCCCUAUGAGAGCUGAUAGAAAUACCCAACAAACACCUGUGAUUGGGAGGACAUAAUCUGGAAGCUAUGGAGCCUUCCAUGUAGACAAAAAUGUAAGAAAACAACGUCACAAUCACUCAGAACCAUGUCACCUAACUACUUCAAUAGCCGACAGAAUGAUGCAGAAAGCCUUAUUUCAAUGAGCUGUUGCAAAGUCUGAAAAA